Molecule: ribosomal RNA, 550 nt
Filed under: uncultured bacterium
Lineage: Bacteria
Description: bacterial SSU rRNA
Rfam family: Bacterial small subunit ribosomal RNA
Source: RNAcentral
GGUGACGAGUUAUUGACUGAGUGGCGGACGGGUGAGUAACGCGUGGGUAACCUACCUUGUACAGGGGGACAACAGUUGGAAACGACUGCUAAUACCGCAUAANCGCANNGCAUCNCAUGAUGCAGUGUGAAAAGUUUUUUCGGUACAAGAUGGACCCGCGUCUGAUUAGCUAGUUGGUGAGGUAACGGCCCACCAAGGCGACGAUCAGUANCCGACCUGAGAGGGUGACCGGCCACAUUGGGACUGAGACACGGCCCAAACUCUUACGGGAGGCAGCAGUGGGGAAUAUUGCACAAUGGGCGCAAGCCUGAUGCAGCGACGCCGCGUGAGCGAAGAAGUAUUUCGGUAUGUAAAGCUCUAUCAGCAGGGAAGAUAAUGACGGUACCUGACUAAGAAGCACCGGCUAAAUACGUGCCAGCAGCCGCGGUAAUACGUAUGGUGCAAGCGUUAUCCGGAUUUACUGGGUGUAAAGGGAGCGUAGGCGGUUUUACAANUCUGAUGUGAAAGCCCGGGGCUCAACUCCGGUAUUGCAUUGGAAACUGUAGAACUA